Molecule: long non-coding RNA, 462 nt
Filed under: Zostera marina
Lineage: Eukaryota; Viridiplantae; Streptophyta; Magnoliopsida; Alismatales; Zosteraceae
Description: long non-coding RNA (ZMAR_LNC005691)
Source: RNAcentral
UCUGAUGGAGUGAAUCCCUCCUCAAGUCUGAAUGCGAGCGACGCUCGAUUAUUGCUAUCGGGGAUUCAAUUGUCUGGUCACUUGCGAUUCUGGGUGUCGCGGUACCAGCCGAUUAAUUUGCCACCCCCGGGGUUCCAGGCCAUCCCGAGGGUCUACUUCAAGCACUUCUCCGAGUUACCAAUUCCGGAGAUCAUUAGCGAAGUGCUUUUGACGUUCGAGGUUUCAUUGUCGCAGCUCCCGGCGGGAUUCUUUGUGAUCCUGCGGGGUUUUAUGAACAUCUGUUGGGGGCUGAACAUUGCUGCGAUGGCGAGCUUGUUCUUGUACUUCUACAAGCUCACUAAAGAGAAGUCUGGAUCCGGUCGUUUUGGGUUCACACGACGACAUUUCGACAAGAACAUCGUCGAUGAGCUCCCGACGAACUUCGGAUCCAAUUGGAGAAGAGAGUUUAUAUUUAUCACCUCU